Molecule: ribosomal RNA, 614 nt
Filed under: uncultured fungus
Lineage: Eukaryota; Fungi
Description: eukaryotic LSU rRNA
Rfam family: Eukaryotic large subunit ribosomal RNA
Source: RNAcentral
UGGAAUAUUACAUCAUAGAGGGUGAGAAUCCCGUAUGUGACUGGCUGCCUCCGCCCGUGUAAAGCUCUUUCGACGAGUCGAGUUGUUUGGGAAUGCAGCUCAAAAUGGGUGGUAUAUUUCAUCUAAAGCUAAAUAUUGGCCAGAGACCGAUAGCGCACAAGUAGAGUGAUCGAAAGAUGAAAAGCACUUUGGAAAGAGAGUUAAACAGUACGUGAAAUUGUUGAAAGGGAAGCGCUUGCAACCAGACUUGCACGCAGUUGAUCAACCGGUGUUCUCACUUUUUUUACUCUGCUGCGUUCAGGCCAGCAUCGGUUUUGGUGGUUGGAUAAAGGCCUUGGGAAUGUGGCUUCCUUCGGGGAGUGUUAUAGCCCAAGGUGCAAUGCAGCCUACCGGGACCGAGGACCGCGCUUCGGCUAGGAUGCUGGCGUAAUGGUUGUAAGCGGCCCGUCUUGAAACACGGACCAAGGAGUCUAACAUCUAUGCGAGUGUUUGGGUGUCAAACCCAUACGCGUAAUGAAAGUGAACGGAGGUAAGAACCCUUUAGGGGGCAUUAUCGACCGGUCCUGAUGUCUUCGGAUGGAUCUGAGUAAGAGCAUAGCUGUUGGGACCCGAAA